RNAcentral lists this ribosomal RNA (408 nucleotides) under uncultured bacterium. RNAcentral describes it as "partial 16S ribosomal RNA". It matches the Rfam family "Bacterial small subunit ribosomal RNA", at positions 28 to 526 of the family's 1533-position model. The record is from RNAcentral.
GACGAACGCUGGCGGCGUGCUUAACACAUGCAAGUCGAACGAAGUGGCGGACGGGUGAGUAACGCGUAAGCAACCUGCCCUUCAGAGGGUGACAACAGUUGGAAACGACUGCUAAUACCGCAUACGGAGGGCGGGGAUUGGGUUGGUGUAGCUCGUGGGAGGGGUAAUGGCCCACCAAGGCGAUGAUCAGUAGCCGGGCUGAGGAGAUGAACGGCCACAAUGGGACUGAGACACGGCCCAUACUCCUACGGGAGGCAGCAGUGGGGAAUCGUCCGCAAUGGACGAAAGUCUGACGGAGCAACGCCGCGUGAGUGAUGACGGCCGUCGGGUUGUAAAGCUCUGUUAAUCGGGACGCGGUACCGGAAUAGAAAGCCACGGCUAACUACGUGCCAGCAGCCGCGGUAAUAC